Molecule: ribosomal RNA, 444 nt
Filed under: uncultured bacterium
Lineage: Bacteria
Description: SSU rRNA
Rfam family: Bacterial small subunit ribosomal RNA
Source: RNAcentral
AGAACGAACGCUGGCGGCAGGCUUAACACAUGCAAGUCGAACGCCCCGCAAGGGGAGUGGCAGACGGGUGAGUAACGCGUGGGAAUCUACCUAGUUCUACGGAACAACAGUUGGAAACGACUGCUAAUACCGUAUACGCCCUAAGGGGGAAAGAUUUAUCGGAAUUAGAUGAGCCCGCGUAAGAUUAGCUAGUUGGUGGGGUAAUGGCCUACCAAGGCGACGAUCUUUAGCUGGUCUGAGAGGAUGAUCAGCCACACUGGGACUGAGACACGGCCCAGACUCCUACGGGAGGCAGCAGUGGGGAAUAUUGGACAAUGGGCGCAAGCCUGAUCCAGCCAUGCCGCGUGAGUGAUGAAGGCCUUAGGGUUGUAAAGCUCUUUCAGUAGGGAAGAUAAUGACGGUACCUACAGAAGAAGCCCCGGCUAACUUCGCGCCAGCAGCCGC